AGCGAACGCUGGCGGCAGGCUUAACACAUGCAAGUCGAACGGGCACUUCGGUGUCAGUGGCAGACGGGUGAGUAACACGUGGGAACGUACCUCUUGGUUCGGAACAACACAGGGAAACUUGUGCUAAUACCGGAUAAGCCCUUACGGGGAAAGAUUUAUCGCCGAGAGAUCGGCCCGCGUCUGAUUAGCUAGUUGGUGAGGUAAUGGCUCACCAAGGCGACGAUCAGUAGCUGGUCUGAGAGGAUGAUCAGCCACAUUGGGACUGAGACACGGCCCAAACUUCUACGGGAGGCAGCAGUGGGGAAUAUUGGACAAUGGGGGCAACCCUGAUCCAGCCAUGCCGCGUGAGUGAUGAAGGCCCUAGGGUUGUAAAGCUCUUUUGUGCGGGAAGAUAAUGACGGUACCGCAAGAAUAAGCCCCGGCUAACUUCGUGCCAGCCGCCGCGGUAA
Molecule: ribosomal RNA, 449 nt
Filed under: uncultured bacterium
Lineage: Bacteria
Description: partial 16S ribosomal RNA
Rfam family: Bacterial small subunit ribosomal RNA
Source: RNAcentral